GGCCAUGUGAGGUCUCAGCAAGAAGGCCAUAGUCUACAAACCAGAAAGGCAGCCCUUACCAGAGACCAACCCUGCCAGACCUUGAUCAUGGACUCCUAGCCUCCAGAACUAGACAGGGUCUCACUAUGUUGCCCAGGCUGGUCUCAAAUUCCUUCUCAAGUGAUCCUCCCACCUCAACCUCCCAAAGUGCUGGGAUUGCAGGCAUGAGCCACUGCACCCAGCAGAAAUUCUUAACGAGGCAAGGCCAACAGAGGCCAUUCAUUCAACAUCACGGCACCAUAGUGGCCUCUUUUUAAGACUCCUCAGGUUCCAGAUAGAUUUCAUCACUCAAGAUAAGCAAAUGAACCACAGAAUUUUGAAGUUAGAGGUAAUUACAGCAAUGAUCUUAGCCAGCCCCCAUACAUUUUGGGACACACAGGUUCAGGACUGCCUGCCCUGGAGCUGAUUCCAUAAGAUACCCAAACAACUUCUGAAAGAGAAAAAAGUCUUUGUCUCAGUUUCUGCUCUCCAGAGGUAACCCAAAGAGGUAAGGAACCCAGUGAGAAAGACAGAGAGAAGUAUGGACAAGAAACAGAUCCUAAACCUGUUUUGUUUUAUUUUUGGUAGUAGUUGUUUAUUUUUGAAAACAUUCAAACCACCUGUAUUGGUGGCUGUUAUUAUGAAAUAAAUAAACUGAGAAACAACAAGACAAUUUGGCCUCUACAAUUUGUUUAGUUUUGACUAAGUAUUUGCCUUGGAAGAAGUAUGUGUACAAUACUCAUUUUUAAAAGAUGCAACAGUCACCUCGUUACUUGGAGUUUUACUUGAGACUUGAAUGGACUGAAACCACCUGGUCACCACUAGAAGCUACAUCAAGGAAAAGAAAGGCAACAUAUUGAAUCUCUUGGGAGAAACUCAUCCUGUAUCUGCUCGAUUGAAAACAUGAAGGUGCACAUUCCAAGCUGCAUAUGCUCAGGUCCGAGUUUCCAAGGAAACAAGGGACUGCUCAUCUAUCUGCAAAACUGAACUGACGAGUCACUUUCAGCUUGUUACAAACCUUGAUUCUGAAUCAAAUUCUAGUGUGCAGUCUAAAAAUUCUCACUGCCUUGUCAUUUCUGCCGAGCAAACCCCUGAUGCUAUGAGGCUGGCAGUUGGGCAGGGAUUUUCCUGGGUUGUGCACUCUAAUUUUUUCCUCUGCACUGUUAGUGAAAUACUGUCAUUGAGAACCAGCUCCACACUGCACCUAUGUGAGAAAGGCCUUGGUUUCUAUCAGUAAAGUCAGACAGGGCUAUGUGCAUUUGGGAUGCCCUGGUCAACCAUACAGGAGGAAGCACAGUGGUCUUCCCAGCUCUCACAGUGGCCACCAGCUCUCAGGCUCACAAACUAGGCAAAGCAAAGAGCAACAGAACAACCUACUUCCCAACUUUCAUUAGUCACUCAAAUCCAAGUGGGUGAUCGUAUUUCUGAAGGUCUUGAAUACAGGACUUCCUGACCAUUCUUUAGCAUUUACUGAUGAAAGUAUUUCAGAUGUGUUAUGUUGUUUGGCAUGUGUUAUGUUGUUUGGCAAUCACAGUAAGUGUUGAGAUAGAUACUAUGAUUAUCUUCAUUCUCUAGGAACAGGCACAGAGAGGUUAAGUAAUUUCCCAAAGGUCACACAGUUUGUAAGUGAUAAAACUGAUUUGAAGCCAAACUAUGUCACCCCAAACUCAUAUUUUUAACACUUUAUUCCAUCUUCUAAAAGGCUGGCUAUUCUAUUUUUCUCUAAGUUUCAAAUUAGUAUGCCCAUUCCCUUGUUCAUUCAUUCAUUCAUCCAACAAACAUGUGUCAGGCAUCUAUGCCAGGCUCUGUGGAUAUAGUAUAAUAACAAACAAGACAGAUAAGAUUUCUCAGGGAGCUUACGUUUUGUAGAGGAGACUAAAUAAAUAAGCAAGCACAAACAAUGUAGAGUUUGUAAUAUUACCUAUCCCAGCAAAGGAAACCAACACUAGUGUGAGAAAAUUAAAUUAUAAAAGACCCUAACAUUUUCAAGAUACUGAAGGGGAUGAGAUGAAGCAGAGGUAGAGUGGGGCUGGAUUAUGCUGAAACACAUAGAACAGACUGGAUUCUAUUUUAAGUGAGGUGAUAAAUUCUUAAGGGUUUGUCAUUUUUGAGGUAGAACUGUCUUUUGUUCCUAUUGUAAAGAAACUACAUAGGUAGGCAUAAAAUACACCUGUAUGCCAGAGAUAGAAAAAUUCAUAUAAUUCCCAACUCCAAUUCUAUUUCUCUAGGAUAAUUUUAAUUGUGUAUAUGAAACAUAUCUCAAUGUUCUUGAAAGACUGAAAUCCACUCUUUUUAUUAUUUAUUGACUUAUUGAUUUGUGGUUAAGGAAAAAGUAGACUGAAGUAAAAAUAAAGAGUGCAGGAGUAUAAUUGCACAAGAAGUGGGAGGGAGACUUGUUGAACAGGCAACAGCCUAAAGUGAGUAUCCAUGAGUGGGCUCAGUAUGACCCUGCAGCUCCCCCAUCACACUUGCACCCACCUCAAGGAAUCCAGUUCACCUCUAUGGAAAAUCCCUGGGCUCCACGGGACAGAGUCUUGUUUUGUUUUACAUCUGUGUGUCCAUGCCUAGCCAGUAUCUUGUUUAGUGCAGCCUUUCCAUAAUAUUUGUGGAGAGAAAGAAAAAUGAAAGGAAGAAGAGAGGGAGGGGAAAAAGAAAGUGAGAGGAAAGAAGAAAGGUAAAAAGGAAGUAGCACUCUUGGUUUUGCUUCUCCUUGGCUGUUUCGUUAUUCUCAGUACUCCCCAACCCAUCUUCCUGGGAUAAGAAAAAAAAAAGACAUCUAAAAUGACACUUCCAAAAGAUUAAUAUUUUCAUUUCAACACUUCUGAAAGUAUUUCAAUGAAAUUGCUUUCAAAUGGUUUAUUUUAUAUUAGAUCAUUGAGAGAUAGAUUAAUGUCAUAAACGUAGGUACUAGCAAGCAAUAUUUUUGUCUCCUAUGUGCACAUAUUGUAUAUUUCAUAUCCUCUGAUAACUUGAAGUCACUAAUUUAAGUCAAAUUAGGGAAAGGGCAGUAUAGUAAUUGCAAUAUUUUCGGCUCCUUCUUGGUAACAAAUGCAGCUUCUUUUUUCCCCUCCACCCAUAUAUGAGUCUUCUUUUUCUUUGGCUAAGAUAUAAUAGCACUGCUCUACAUGAACAAAACUAUUUUUACUGGCUAUGUUAUUACUGAGAAAUGCAUUGGGAAAAUGUAAAAAUAUUUCACCUUUAUGUUGAAGAAAAUAAACACAGUGGAUUAGAU
Homo sapiens (human) is the source of this 3250-nucleotide long non-coding RNA. Ensembl annotates it as long intergenic non-protein coding RNA 1828. The record is from Ensembl. Lineage: Eukaryota; Metazoa; Chordata; Mammalia; Primates; Hominidae.